GACGAACGCUGGCGGCGUGCUUAACACAUGCAAGUCGAACGGAAAGGCCCUGCUUUUGUGGGGUGCUCGAGUGGCGAACGGGUGAGUAACACGUGAGUAACCUGCCCUUGACUUUGGGAUAACUUCAGGAAACUGGGGCUAAUACCGGAUAGGAUCUCCAGCUGCAUGGUGGGGGUUGGAAAGUUUCGGCGGUUGGGGAUGGACUCGCGGCUUAUCAGCUUGUUGGUGGGGUAGUGGCUUACCAAGGCGUUGACGGGUAGCCGGCCUGAGAGGGUGACCGGCCACAUUGGGACUGAGAUACGGCCCAGACUCCUACGGGAGGCAGCAGUGGGGAAUAUUGCACAAUGGGCGGAAGCCUGAUGCAGCAACGCCGCGUGCGGGAUGACGGCCUUCGGGUUGUAAACCGCUUUCGCCUGUGACGAAGCGUGAGUGACGGUAAUGGGUAAAGAAGCACCGGCUAACUACGUG
Molecule: ribosomal RNA, 468 nt
Filed under: uncultured bacterium
Lineage: Bacteria
Description: partial 16S ribosomal RNA
Rfam family: Bacterial small subunit ribosomal RNA
Source: RNAcentral